Molecule: long non-coding RNA, 3689 nt
Organism: Anopheles funestus (African malaria mosquito)
Lineage: Eukaryota; Metazoa; Arthropoda; Insecta; Diptera; Culicidae
Exons: 2
Source: RefSeq, a predicted model, not a curated record
CAACUAUCGCACGAAUGUGUGAAAUUUCCCCGCCAGAUUUGCUGCUAUGAGCAAGAAACGUAUCGUCGAGUCAACUCGCUCGCACCAACACAAACCAUGCCAGCCACACGUGCUCAGCGAACGGUCGCUCGUGCUCGCUCGCACUAACCCUCACAGCGCAAGCCCGUCCGCCCCGAUUCUGACUAGCGAACCGCUGUCCCGCAUUGGUCUCGCUCGCUCCCUUACAAAAUUCUAUUGCGCUUCUGUUGAUCUGCUGUUUUGUUUUAUUACUUUCGUUCGCAUGAAGUUGUGUCGUGGUUUUUUUUCUAUUAUUGUUGCUCCGUUUGAAUAUUAUUGGCGAUAUAAAUUUCCCACCUCAUGACAGAAAAACACAGGAGUCCGGGGGAUCCGCUGAAGCGGUUCGUUUGUUCGAGCUUGGGUUAAAAUUUGUGAAAAGAAAACGAUCGAGACGAUCGUAAAACUAAUCGAUUGGUGUGUUAUUCAGUAGUGUAUGUAUUAUGUUGCUUCUCGGUUGUGCCCGGUAGGUGAUAAAAGUCAGAUAAAAGAGUUAAUCUAGAAGUAAAAAGGGUAAUGGCGUUGGUUGCUACCAUUGUUUACGAUUGUCUGUCUGCUGGCUGACUAGCUGUGACCCAAAGGAACCCUUCGAUCCGCUUGUUCCGAUCGCGAGAUCUUCCAGCAAAGAAACUCCGUGGGCAAACCUUGAAGAAUUUUUAUAGCAACCUCAAAUAGUCUCGAGUUCCUAACGCGAAUUGUGAUUUAUUUUCACAAAAGAUCCAGAAGCGAAGGAAAUUUAUGUCACAAAACGAAACGGAGCUACUACACAUCGAACAAAAGCCAAUGUCUGAGUAGGUUCGGCGCCCGUACAAGAAACAAUAGGGCUUGGGUGUAAAUCAUAACCGCUCGCCCAACCGAAGCAAAACGUGCCACCAAGCAUCAUUUGCAGAUCAGCUGUGACAAGGCAAAUGUUAUUUAGCUAUCAUCAUCGUUCCGAACCCCGCAACCCUACCUACCCUGCGUUAUGAACCGCAUAAAAUUUAAUUUCCAGGAUAAUCUUCCACCUUCCGCCACACAAAUGCGUGCAACUGUGGCGAUAACAAUCGGAACGCGGCACCCGGUAAAAGUGACUCCCGGUCGGAAACCCUUGGGUGCACUUUUUCACACGAUCAACCCGGACCCUCUUCGGUGCGACCGAUGCAAUAAGGCGUGCCGUGAGUUUUCUUCCUUUCUAGACCGAGCAAUAUCCGGGACCUAAGUCGAGACUGAAUUCCUCACCCUUUUUUAUGGCAUUUUGUGCUUUCAAAUGGAUGCAGUUAAAAGUUUUAACUUCCAAAAUGGUUUCACCCCAUCGGCAGCGGCAUUGGGAUGGUUUGUUCUUUUAGGGUUUUUUUCUACUUCUACCUCACAUUAGUCCUUGCGAUAAUAUCAAGAUCGAUGGCACGCGUCGAAUCAUUCAAAAAUCCACAACUAGCCGGUUGGUGGUGAUCAUGUAAAAAAAAAAAGAAGUGAAAUAAUUACAUUAGUUUAAAGGAUGGACACACAUACGCGUGCGUGUUGCGGUUGUCGGGUAUAAAAAUUGCCACUUCUGUCAGCUUUCGCUGAAAAGGCUCUAACAGGAUGUGGUCACGUGCCGCUUGGCUCUUGGCAUGUGCAAACGGAUAAGUCGUUACUGAUCGUAAUCGUUUGGCUUUUGAGGUAGUAGGACAAAGAAGGGGAAAAAUACAUACACACGCACACACAUUAAGAAAAGAAAAUUUGGAAAAACAAGGAUCGCCGGAUUGUAGUACGGGAGUGUGUUUAUGGCACACCAAUUCGAAGAAAACCCUCACGAGAUUGAACGCCUGAACAUUGGCUGAAUUGAGCUAGUUUUUUCCCCGGCUUUUCAGUAUGAGCUGACACUUUCGCGUACGCAUUUUUCCCGUACGAUGGUAACCAGAUUUUUUUUUCUUUUUUAAAAUAAGUCCUUAGUCUCUCAAACCAGUGAAGAAAGAAGCAAAGGAAUCGAUUCCGGACAAAAGGACAAUAAAACAGUUCGAUGAUUUAUUGCCAAUUCUUAGCAUGCCUGACUUUAUCAUCAUUAUUUAUGUUUUUGGUGGGGUUUCUGCGCUUUUUUUUGGUUUGCGAGAAGUGCUCUACCCGCAACAAUAACGAAAACACAUUGUCGCGUGGAUGGAUGUGGAAAGUGGGUGGCAAGAAGCGAAUGAUUGACUUUUCUUUUCCAACACAAAGAAACCCAACGAAGGUGUAUCUUUCUUUGUGGCAUUUUUUUUUUUGUUAUACCGCAAUUUUCAUCUUGAUUAAAUUGAGAUUCGGUUUGAAUGGGAAGGAUAUGGUAGAAUCGUUACCAGAUGACACUAGACGAAGUAACCGACACCUUCAAGCAAUUAUCUCGCAAAACAUUUCGUCUUUUUGUGUCCUGUUUGCAAAAAACCUCGCACACCAUAUCAUGGCGGAUGGUGGGGAAACAGGUUUGAAAAAUAUUCGAAACAGAAAACAAACACACUCGAAAUGUCCCAUUUCGCAAUCACGCGACCGAGGUGAGUUAUGAAUAUAGAUGACGGAUAAUUGAAUGAGACAUAAAUAAAAUAUAGUCCUUCAUCCCGACAGGUCCGUUGACGGAAUAGGCACGAUGGUAACGAUGGUGGUCCGGAAGCAGGAUGAGUUGAUGGGAAAAGUGUCAAAUCAAAUGCUGUGUGUGUGUGCGGUAAAGAGGAUGCUAGUCCGUAACAUUCGAAUGGAAGGAGAAAAUGUACCGAAAUGGAAGAAAAAUGGAAGGGUGUGCUGGUAAAAGAAGAGAAAAAAAACAACAACAACCAUUACUACCAAUUGAGACGACAACGCACAUACAUAUAAAAGAAUGGAACGUUUUCUGGUAGGGUGCUGACAGGAUUUGGAAAGGAAGCAACUCUCGCUAAGGGUGUUAACCGAUGAUGGAGAGCCCUUAAACGUUGGACAGGCACGGGUAUGGGAACACGAGCCACUGGGCCACACCACGCAGAGUUGUGGAUGAACGAUGAUUCUCAAACCAUCAGCCGGUGGUUCUUUCCCUUCCGAGUGGGUCAGUUUUGAUGAGCCAUAAUCAGACCCAUCUAGCAUAGAAAGGAUUCGUUGCCAGGCGGGCUCGUACGGUUUAAUUGAUUUUUUAUUCAAAUGAACGCAAUACCGAGAACCUUCCCCGUCAAUUUUGCCGAUUUUGUUACGAAAGGUUCAUCAUGGUGAUGUUCCGCCACGUGACACACGGUGGCAAUAGAUUUUUUUUACACAUUUUGUUUAAUUUUUACGAUGAAAUCGAAUUAGGUUUUAUGAGCAUUUAAUGUUAGAAAGAGAAACAGCAAGAGAAAGACAGAGCGAGAGAGGGGAGUUUUAAGGACAAAAACAUUUGUACCACAAUAGUUGGAAUAUACACACAAUUUGUUAAAAUGUAAAUGUUUAUUAACAAGUUUAUCUUCUUUGUUUAUUUAAAUUAUUACAACUAGUGUUGGGUGAAUCUGAUUCAGAUUCAUGAAUUUGAACGAAUCAUUUAACUGACUGAAUGACUCCGAAUCUUUAUUCUGAAGAUUCCUGAAUCCUCAUUGAAUUAUGAAUCCUUAGAGUUUCGGGACAGCCCGACGAUUAAUCGGUCCUCCUCCGGGUCCUACCUUUUCAGUUAAGUUUGUUGGCAAUGAAUAAUAAAGGAUUCAUUAAUCUUUCAA